GACGAACGCUGGCGGCGUGCUUAACACAUGCAAGUCGAACGGAAAGGCCCUGCUUUUGUGGGGUGCUCGAGUGGCGAACGGGUGAGUAACACGUGAGUAACCUGCCCUUGACUUUGGGAUAACUCUAGGAAACUGGGGCUAAUACCGGAUAGGAGCUCCUGCUGCAUGGUGGGGGUUGGAAAGUUUCGGCGGUGGGGGAUGGGCUCGCGGCUUAUCAGCUUGUUGGUGGGGUAGUGGCCUACCAAGUCUUCGACGAGUAGCCGGCCUGAGCGGGUGACCGGCCACAUUGGGACUGAGAUGCGGCCGAGACUCCUACGGGGGGCAGGAGUGGGGGAUAUUGCACAAUGGGCGGAAGCGUGAUGCAGGAGCGCCGCGUGGGGGAUGGCGGCCGUCGGGUUGUAAACCGCUUUCGACUGUGGAGAAGCGUGAGUGACGGUAACUGGUAAAGAAGCACCGGCUAACUACGUG
Molecule: ribosomal RNA, 468 nt
Filed under: uncultured bacterium
Lineage: Bacteria
Description: partial 16S ribosomal RNA
Rfam family: Bacterial small subunit ribosomal RNA
Source: RNAcentral